ACUCCUACGGGAGGCAGCAGUGGGGAAUAUUGCACAAUGGGGGAAACCCUGAUGCAGCCAUGCCGCGUGUGUGAAGAAGGCCUUCGGGUUGUAAAGCACUUUCAGUAGGGAGGAAGGUAGUGUAGUUAACACCUGCACUAUUUUGACGUUACCUACAGAAGAAGCACCGGCUAACUCCGUGCCAGCAGCCGCGGUAAUACGGAGGGUGCGAGCGUUAAUCGGAAUUACUGGGCGUAAAGCGCAUGCAGGCGGCCUGUUAAGUCAGAUGUGAAAGCCCGGGGCUUAACCUCGGAAUUGCAUUUGAAACUGGUAGGCUAGAGUCUUGUAGAGGGGGGUAGAAUUUCAGGUGUAGCGGUGAAAUGCGUAGAGAUCUGAAGGAAUACCAGUGGCGAGGCGGCCCCCUGGACAAAGACUGACGCUCAGAUGCGAAAGCGUGGGGAGCAAACAGGAUUAGAUACCCUGGUAGCGUAGUCU
RNAcentral lists this ribosomal RNA (474 nucleotides) under uncultured bacterium. RNAcentral's name for it is "bacterial SSU rRNA". It matches the Rfam family "Bacterial small subunit ribosomal RNA", at positions 335 to 801 of the family's 1533-position model. The record is from RNAcentral.